Molecule: non-coding RNA, 239 nt
Organism: Pimephales promelas (fathead minnow)
Lineage: Eukaryota; Metazoa; Chordata; Actinopteri; Cypriniformes; Leuciscidae
Source: RefSeq, a predicted model, not a curated record
GUUUGUGCAGAUAUCGUGCCGAGGGCCGAGACAGAAGAAGAGCUCAGUGUGACCGCUGUCGUUUCGUCUCAGCUCGACCAGCUCUCGUGUGCGCUGAUAGCAGAGAUGAGCGGCCAGCCGGUCCCGUCCGUCUCUGUCCAGGUGAGGAUAAAGAGCCGUUCUGCUGUGGCGAGCCCGAAGAUGACGGUGUGUGUUCAGCCUCCUCUGGCUGUCACACAGGACCAGUUCGUGUUGGACUC